RNAcentral lists this ribosomal RNA (419 nucleotides) under uncultured bacterium. RNAcentral's name for it is "bacterial SSU rRNA". It matches the Rfam family "Bacterial small subunit ribosomal RNA", at positions 29 to 450 of the family's 1533-position model. The record is from RNAcentral.
AAUGAACGCUGGCGGCGUGCCUAACACAUGCAAGUCGAGCGAGAAAGUCUCUUCGGAGAUAAGUACAGCGGCGGACGGGUAGAGUAACGCGUGAGAAUUUACCCUUUAGUGAAGAAUACCUCUGAGAAAUCAGGGUUAAUACUGCAUACGUCCCUACGGGGAGAAAGGUGGCCUCUUUGCUGACCGCUAAAGGAUAAGCUUGCGUACUAUUAGCUAGUUGGUGAGGUAAAGGCUCACCAAGGCGAUGAUGGUUAGCCGGCCUGAGAGGGUGUACGGCCACACUGGAACUUAGACACGGUCCAGACUCCUACGGGAGGCAGCAGUGAGGAAUAUUGCGCAAUGGGCGAAAGCCUGACGCAGCGACGCCGCGUGGAGGAUGAAGGUCUUCGGAUUGUAAACUCCUGUUAAGUGGGAAGAAA